This 253-nucleotide ribosomal RNA is filed under the name uncultured bacterium. RNAcentral's name for it is "partial 16S ribosomal RNA". It matches the Rfam family "Archaeal small subunit ribosomal RNA", at positions 474 to 727 of the family's 1478-position model. The record is from RNAcentral.
UACCAGCACCCCGAGUGGUCGGGACGAUUAUUGGGCCUAAAGCAUCCGUAGCCGGUUCUGCAAGUCCCCCGUUAAAUCCAGCUGCUCAACAGAUGGGCCGCGGAGGAUACUACAGAGCUAGGAGGCAGGAGAGGCAAGCGGUACUCGAUGGGUAGGGGUAAAAUCCGUUGAUCCAUUGAAGACCACCAGUGGCGAAGGCGGCUUGCCAGAACGCGCUCGACGGUGAGGGAUGAAAGCUGGGGGAGCAAACCGG